AGAAAGCCAUUGCUAUUGAAUAUGGCGAUUGGGAUGAGUCAUAUGCGAAACUUUCGUCGUGGCUAACACACAUGCAAAAUCAUUCUCCAGGAUCGUAUUUUCAAAUAUUACAUGACGAUUUUAUCGUUGGAAAUACGGUUAGUCGCGAACACCGCCAAUUUCAUAGAGUUUUCUGGACUUUUGGCCAAUGUAAAGAGGCUUUCAAGUACUGUAAGCCAAUCAUACAAGUUGAC
This 233-nucleotide long non-coding RNA is filed under the name Glycine max (soybean). RNAcentral's name for it is "long non-coding RNA (GMAX_LNC002777)". Lineage: Eukaryota; Viridiplantae; Streptophyta; Magnoliopsida; Fabales; Fabaceae. The record is from RNAcentral.